This 73-nucleotide transfer RNA is filed under the name Mycobacterium alsense. Its description in RNAcentral is "tRNA-Phe". It matches the Rfam family "tRNA". From Rfam's summary of the family: Transfer RNA (tRNA) molecules are approximately 80 nucleotides in length. Their secondary structure includes four short double-helical elements and three loops (D, anti-codon, and T loops). The record is from RNAcentral. Lineage: Bacteria; Bacillati; Actinomycetota; Actinomycetes; Mycobacteriales; Mycobacteriaceae.
CGACUCUUAGCUCAAUUGGAAGAGCGUCUGCGUGAAGAGCAGAAGGCUCCUGGUUCGAUCCCGGGAGAGUCGG